CUCAGCAAGUGGCAAAAGGACUUCGCUUCAGCCAUCUGGAAAUGAACAGCUUUGGAGCAUGAUCUGAUGUCUUCUACCCAAUUCCCAUGAGAAAAGUCACUGUUAUUGGAGCCACAAUGAAGAAGGUCACUGGAAGGGUAAUUACAAAUCUAGUCACAGAAGACAGAGUGGUGCAAUGGAAAUAAGCUUACUGCUUAGCUGAAGUUACAGCUUUAAGAAUUAAAGAUGAACCCACUUUCCACGGGAUCCUGCAUGAAGAAGGAUGUCUGCCGCCAUUGUCUGGAGGAUGAAAGCGUUCGAGUGAAGCAUGAAGGAGGCAGGUGACAGCCCGCACAGCUAAGAGGAGACCAAUCCAAAGAGACCUGCAGCAGCUGUGAAUCCUCCGGAACCUCCCAGUCUCGGGACCACAGUUCUCACCUCUCAAGGCGGCUCAGCUCAGAACCUCCCAGUCUCGGGACCACAGUUCUCACCUCUCAAGGCGGCUCAGCUCAGAACCUCCCAGUCUCGGGACCACAGUUCUCACCUCUCAAGGCGGCUCAGCUCAGAACCUCCCAGUCCUGGGACCACAGUUCUCACCUCUCAAGGCGGCUCAGCAACAUUGGAGUCGCCAUUCCCUAUCAGCGUGGUGCCUGUGGAGAGGCAGCUUCAACCGUGUGGCUAAAAGGCUGUCCUAACCAGGAGGCAUCCAUGUAGAUACAGGAUUAUGCAGCUAUCGCCCCUUUCCGUGGUCCCCGUGCAGGAGGCAGCUGCUCGGCUCCACGACUCUGACUUCAGUGCCGGCCUGUCUUGAGGAUGGAUGGCGUUCAGGUUUCUAGGACCAAGACAAUAGCCUCAGCAAGCCAUCCUGCUCAACAGUGCUUGUUUCCGGCUCUAUGGCAAAGACCCCUGCAUUUGCUACCACCGGCCUUUCCAUCUCCUGAGACAAUCAGAAGUGCAGCUCAUGGACCUGCACCUGCCGAAUCUGACUGCUCACUUCAACAUGGUCCUCGAGAGUAUUAACAUUUCUGCAGCAUCUUCAACACAUGAUUGAUGACUUAAUACUUGCAGCUCUGUUGUUCAGUGCUCCCCUAAUUGCUCUUUUCCUGAUUUUCAGUUACAGAACUUCUGUUCCUUUCAAAGGACUGAAGGCCCCUUGCCUGUCAGUUCCUCGGUAGAAGCAUUAAACCAUGCUUUUCUACGGCAUGCUUCUGUAUUCCAUUCCCUCUUCCGUCCUACAAGCCAACUAUCCCACGCUAUUUCAGCUAGCCCUGCUGUGGCUUUAUAGCCAGACUUCUUCACAGCCUUCUUAUAUUUGGUGAAAGUACAAAGUCUCUUCUAAAAUGCGGUUGUCAAGAGCAUGUCUUAAGUUUUAUUGUAGAGUAUACAAUGUCAUGAAGGAAGAAGUCAAAUAUUCAUGAACAUAAAUAAAUUAUACUUAUAAAUAAUAUAAAUAAGUACUUCUUGUUAUAAAAUAAAAACUAAGAUUUUCAUUAUUGUUUCAGAACACAAAGUAACAGAAGCAAAAGAUCCAAAAGGGCAUAACAAAUUCCAAAACAAACUCUUGGUUCAUCAUGACCUGCACACUAUUUCGAUGGCUUUUUUCUGUGCCUCUGGAUCAUAAUGUGCUUAGAGAUGAUUUAAGAUUCCAGUGUAUUUUGCAUAUGAACUUUUGCUUGGUUUCUAUUCUCCUCUUUUUGACAUGGAUGAUUGACUUUGAUGGUUGAAAUAUAAGCUUCCAUAAUUAUUCAUGCUGAAUUGCAUCUCAUUGUGUACAUAAAGUUUUCUUGUACAUCAAGAUGUAGUCAAUCAUCCAUCAAUUAUGUUGUCAGUGGAAAUCCUACCUUUGUCCUUUUUGAAACUAUGUGCUGGGGGUUUUGAAUAUAAACUGAAAGCAAUAUUUAACGCCCAUGUCUCCAUGGAAAUGAAUAGAAUUGCACAUGAAAUCUUUAAGUACUUUUUAAAAUUAUAGUAAAUAGACCUUGCUCUUUUACAGAACAGCUUUUCAGUUUGUGUCUUGUUUCUAAUAAAUAAUUGUAUGUAAUCACUCCAUUUUUAGUUUAACACAGAGUAUAACAAAUUGAUGGCAGGAAUAGAAAGCGAACUCCCUACUCCAUGGAAGGGUAUCCCAUUGAUUGUAAUUACCAAAAACUACAGAUACAAAGAUUAAUUAAAUACACUUCUUAUGUUUAAUAAUUAACAAGGGAACGGACCUCAGUCAGGGUCAAGCGGCUCUUUUGGGUUGACAGACCUCAUGGAAGACUUCAGCUCCUGUUUUCUGGAUGGUUUAUAUUGUUACUAUUCACAUCUACCCUUUGAGGAUAAAGAUGGACCACUGUUCUUCACCAGCUGCCCUGACUUUAAUAAGAGACUUUCAGGAAGGACAGAAGAGGUGAAGGUCUGGCCAGGCUCACAGCAAGUGGGUCUCCUAAGUGGACAAUAGAACUUUGGAGAGGUCACAGGUGAUCUGUUUGUUUCAAUUUAAGCCCAUCUGUGACCACAAAUUGCAACUCCCUGAGUAAGCACUUCGCUCCAGGCAAUGGAAUAAUAGAAAUUAGAUAAUUAAGAAAGUAGGCUGCACAAAUUAUAAAAAGAGGUGGCCUUCUAAACCAGCUUUAUAUUCAGCUCAAUUAAAUAAAAGGCAAGCAUUCAUGUCACCUACGGCUUUGGUCUAGAAAUAUUGCUGCAAUGUUCUGUGUUGCUGCCCAAUGUGAGCAUUUCGAUAUGUUAAUAGACUUGCAUCUUGACGCACUGAUAGUCUCGAUCUAAAGAUGAUUUAAGAUGUUUAUGAAAGCUUCAGAGAAGGAACCUCAUCUCGCUGCUCUGCGUAAUUCAAGCGUUAAUGGAAACAACUGCAAUUCAAGCCAAAAAGAUCAAAGAUGAUUUCGCAAGCACUUUCCAGGCCUCGGAGAAAGAUGGGAAACAGCAAAAUUUAAGAUUCCUGCAAAGAAAGCAAUAUUUAGGUUGAUUUCAAAUCACGUUAAUAAGACAAUGGAAAAUAAAAAUUACCCCUCCCUCAUUAACUGGUGAUCAAUUUCAAUGUGUUAUCCCUUUGCUUCUUGCCUAGACUGUUUCUUAAUAGAGGUUCUCUUUGAUGAGACCACAUUUAAUAUAAUGUGAAAGAGGGAAUUCACAACCUAUAGUGUACAAAUCAGCAGCAUCAUUAACCCAGGUUUCAGGAAGGUGAUAAAUACCGAGACACUCAUCAUAUUAAAGUUAGUUUACAUAUCCAUUUGAAAACAAGGGACAUUUACAAAUUUUUCAUUGGUUAUCAGAGACUAAAAUCCAUACCACUCUGUAUAAGUUUUCAGUAAAUGGCAUUUUUAAAGAUUAAUAAGUAGUACAAGUUUUCUGUUUCUUAUCGCCUAGCUUCUCUGAAAACACGGCCUAGGACUUCCUUAAAGCAGUCUACAUUUGGCUGUUCUUUUACUCCAUGUUUUCAUUUUGAAAUAUGAGUUUCUGAAUUAAGGGUUAAUUAUAAAUUUUACUUAUAUCAAUACAAAAUUUUCAAGCAAACACAAAACACCUCUGUGUGAUUUCUCAUCAUGCAACAAUCACAACCAAUGACUUGGCAUUUAUAUUUCAGAACUUUACACGGUUUUGUUUUAAAUCACUGUCAACACAAUUACUUGUUUGUAUUCGUUUUUCUUAAUGAUCAUUUAGCAGAGAAAUGUAUUAGACUACACCAUGGCUACAGUUAUCACCAUAUAGAUCUAAAGGAUACAAAAUCUGUUUUCCUUCUAUAAUAACAAUAUUAAAAAUUGUCAAGAAAAACAAGAAAGAGUAUAUAUGUUAAUGUAUAGCAAGUCAUCAAAACUUAUGGUAUAAUUAAUCAUUAAUAAGCAAUUAGAAGUAUCUCAUGACUUGGAAAGUUAAUAGGUUCAACUAAAUGCUUGUAACUUGAACUCAUUUAUGGCUACACUUCUACAUCAUGUAUAAACUAAUAAAGUGAUGGGUGAUAUUGAAAAUGACUGGAACUAAACAAAUAAGCAGUGGGUUGUACUUGAGUUAGUUACUGGCCAUUCAUGACUAAAGACAAAACUUCCGAUUUGCUCUUUACUCUUCAAAAAUAUACAAAAACAAAAAUAAUUUAUGCAUCUUUCUUUGCACUGAAGGUUUGUACUAUACCUUUAUAUAGCAUGGAGAACAUAUGCAAAGUCAGAUUCUUCCUUUUCAGUGGACAGUCAAUUUCCUUUUGAGCUUUUAGUUCUCUGCUUUGGAAACUACAGGUUAAAAAAAAAUGCUCCUGCCAUUCUGAGGCAAAGAGGUGUGUUUCUGACCUGGAAUGCA
Long non-coding RNA from Peromyscus californicus insignis, 4266 nucleotides. RefSeq lists it as uncharacterized. Lineage: Eukaryota; Metazoa; Chordata; Mammalia; Rodentia; Cricetidae. The record is from RefSeq and is a predicted model, not a curated record. The transcript is spliced from 4 exons.